CGGAAGUUGAUCGCGGAAACGAAACGGCCGCCAGCUGCAGUCCGUUACAUCAGAGAGAGCAAGAUGGCGAGAGCUUUUUGGAAGUAAAACAAGCGGAGGGACGACAUACACCGAAGAACCGUGCAGAAGAAUUCCUCCACGUGUCAAACAGAAGGGCGCAGGUGGAGAAAUGUCUCCGUCCUUCCUGUGUCCUCGACGCAGGUCUGAUGGCACAGGGGGAAAUCCUGUCUCAGCUCAUGUCCCCCCCCCCCCCCCCCCCCCCCGCUGGGAUGUGGAGGUACGCUCGGUUUCAUCGCCCUGUUCAUGACUGUUAUUGCUCAAAAGUGGAAGAUUAUGAUUACCUGGAAGCCUCAGUCCCGGCUCUGUUUCUGCCUGCAGAGUAACGGCGAGUAUUCCAGGUCCAAAGGGAUGAAUUUAAUCUGCAGAUGGUUAUCAAUCUAAAAGUGGUUUUGCCCUCUUGAAAGGGAUCUCCAUGCUUUUGUUGUCAAGUUGUAUUUCAACCAUUUCCUCCCGUGUUCAUUCGCUCUCACUCACAACUCCCCUCUGUAUUAUACGGCUUAAUUUUGCUGAAGAGCUGCAAAUGUCACAGUUCAGUGGAAUUUUGAGGCCUCUAAAAUCCCAGAGACUGUGCCUGAUAGAUUUCAGUAAACUAUGAAAUUAAAUAAGGAACCUCCUGUGUGAAUUGGAUUUAAAUAUUCCUAUUACUCCGGCAAAUGAAUAAGAAGAAAAGUAAGAUUAACUUUUAAAUGAUGGUGAGAAUCCUCCAGUGCUACGGCUUCAGAACGAGGUCAUUAGUGUAAGUGUGAUGCUUCAUAAUCCCUCCCAGCGGCGAGCGGGACACCGCACAUCCAUAUCGACUCCCCACAGAUAAAAGUAUUUAUUUCAGGAUCUUUCCUGGACAGUGAGGACAAACAACAGUAAGCCACGAAUCCACCUCCAUGUGAUGGAUCCAGGUGAAAACAAGCUUCACGCUCCCCGCGGCCUCAUUCAUCACCCGAUUAUCAUUCAUGUCUGUUGAGGGUUUCCAUGAUUGUAGCUUGGAUUAUUUCAGAAAGUCGAUGUAUUUCCAAUAUUUUCCUUCUUCCACCAAACGAUUGCGAAAACAUUACAUCAACAACAACAAGGACUACAUUUGCGCGGAGAAGGUUUUAACUUCACUUUGAGUCCUUAGCCUUUUGAAGUAUUGCAGAGCAUGAGCUUACAUUUCAUUUCGCCCAGGCUUUGCACCUGAGACACACACACACACACCUUUAAGAUGCAAUGAAAGGAAAUAAUAACUGAAGCUCUCUGAAUUAAUUAACUCGAGUAUAAACUUGACUUUGAUUGCAAAGCGAAAUUGGCUUUGACUUGACUUCUAGUUGUCAUUCAUCUUUUGGGGCAGCUGAAACCUUUCAGGCUUUAACCUGCUGUGUAUUUUGGCCUUUGCGAGAGAAAGAGAGGCAAACAUCUGGAUUCUUCCCAUGAUUGUCAGGAAGCAC
This is a long non-coding RNA of Gasterosteus aculeatus aculeatus (three-spined stickleback), 1478 nucleotides long. NCBI's taxonomy places the organism in Eukaryota, Metazoa, Chordata, Actinopteri, Perciformes, Gasterosteidae. The record is from Ensembl.